Molecule: unclassified non-coding RNA, 1364 nt
Filed under: Hevea brasiliensis (rubber tree)
Lineage: Eukaryota; Viridiplantae; Streptophyta; Magnoliopsida; Malpighiales; Euphorbiaceae
Source: RNAcentral
UUCUCCAUAAUCACUAUCAUUUAUCUUUUCAAGUUAAUAUCUUCUUUAGCUAUAGCACAUACCAAACAUGGCUCUAGCCAUUUCUUUAUCCACCCUUCUCUUCCUUUUCUUCUUUACUCUAUCAUCUGCCAUGGACAUGUCAAUUAUCCGCUAUAACUAUGAUCAUCAUCCUAAAAGCUGGAGAAGCGAUGUCGAGGUCAUGAACAUGUACAACUGGUGGCUUGCAAAGCAUGGUAAAACUUACAAUAAGAUUGGGGAGAGGGAGGAGAGGUUUGAGAUCUUUAAGAAUAACUUGAGGUUCAUCGAUGAACACAACUCUAAAAAUCGUACCUAUAAGGUUGGAUUGACUAGGUUUGCUGAUCUUACCAAUGAAGAGUACCGUGCCAUGUUCUUGGGCACAAAGAGUGAUCCUAAGCGUAGAGUAAUGAAGUCUAAAAACCCCAGCCGUAGGUAUGCUUUUAAGGCCACUGACGAAUUGCCAGAGUCCGUCGAUUGGAGAAAGGAAGGAGCUGUUAAUCCCAUCAAAGAUCAAGGAAGUUGUGGUAGCUGCUGGGCAUUCUCAACCAUAGCUGCAGUAGAAGGAAUAAACAAGAUAGUGACAGGGGAACUAAUCUCUCUAUCAGAACAAGAAUUGGUAGACUGUGACAGAUCAUACGAUGCAGGUUGCAAUGGAGGCCUCAUGGACAACGCCUUCCAGUUCAUCCUCCAGAAUGGUGGCAUUGACACCGAACAAGAUUAUCCAUACCUCGCCGUUGAUGGCACUUGUGACCCAACCAAGGUGAAUAAUAAGGCUGUUACCAUUGAUGGGUUUGAGGAUGUUAUUCCUUUCGAUGAGAAAGCUUUGCAGAAAGCUGUGGCAAAUCAACCUGUCAGUGUUGCAAUUGAAGCCAGCGGCAUGCCUUUGCAGUUCUACCAGUCGGGUGUGUUCAGUGGUGAAUGUGGAUCAGCUCUAGACCAUGGAGUGGUCAUUGUUGGAUAUGGAACAGAUCAAAAUGGCAUGGAUUACUGGAUUGUUAGGAAUUCAUGGGGCCGAGACUGGGGUGAGAAUGGAUAUAUCAGGAUCCAGCGCAAUGUGGUUGACACAUACGCUGGCAAAUGUGGAAUUGCAAUGGAAUCCUCUUAUCCCAUCAAGAAUGCCCAGAACCCUUCUCAAACUUCUGAGGCUGCUGAGAAGAUCAACAGCGCUUGAAGCUUCCUCUUGCCUCUUUCAAGAAAAGGGUACAAAGAAAGAUCAACAAAGGUGUGAAUUAUGAUGGCUACUUGAUUUAUUAUGUCCUGUAAUAAGGAAAAAUUGGGUGUUUGUGUUUGUUUGGAAUGUUGUUGUCGUAUAUAGCUUUACAUUGUCAAAACAUCACCUGAAAAAA